GAUAGGAAGAGCCGACAUCGA
RNAcentral lists this non-coding RNA (21 nucleotides) under Arabidopsis thaliana (thale cress). Lineage: Eukaryota; Viridiplantae; Streptophyta; Magnoliopsida; Brassicales; Brassicaceae. The record is from RNAcentral.